UACGUAGGGCGCAAGCGUUGUCCGGAAUUAUUGGGCGUAAAGAGCUCGUAGGCGGUUUGUCGCGUCUGCUGUGAAAACCUAAGACUCAACCUUGGGCUUGCAGUGGGUACGGGCAGACUAGAGUGCGGUAGGGGUGACUGGAAUUCCUGGUGUAGCGGUGAAAUGCGCAGAUAUCAGGAGGAACACCGAUGGCGAAGGCAGGUCUCUGGGCAUUAACUGACGCUGAGGAGCGAAAGCAUGGGGAGCGAACAGG
This 253-nucleotide ribosomal RNA is filed under the name uncultured bacterium. Its description in RNAcentral is "partial 16S ribosomal RNA". It matches the Rfam family "Bacterial small subunit ribosomal RNA", at positions 524 to 776 of the family's 1533-position model. The record is from RNAcentral.